AACCCGUUCUCAUCAGUCUGCGUAUAAAUAACACGACUUUACAUUUUCUAUUUGCGUGUAAUGCAUACGCCAAAUGCCAUUUUUGCGUGCAUAUGAUACGCCAAUCCUUCCCAUUAAUUUCGGUGGAGAGCAGAUGCGUCCAAAUAACACGCAUCAUCUUCAGCGGCAGUGACGUCACUAGCGUGGCUCGUUCAGUUCACCUGAUGCGCGUACACCUUCAAACAGGUAAGCAAGGGUAAAUAUAUUUUUUUAUUCUUCUUUUUGUAAUGAUAUCACGUGGUUAAGCGUAUUGUUUUAAUUAUUUCAGUAUUUCUGCAUCACGUUAGACAGGGCCGUGUUUUUAAAGGGCAGUUUAUGCUCAAAUUAUGGGUCAGUGGGCUGCUCAGCUAGCCUACCAUUGUCAUUAGCCUAAGCUAACCUGUACUGUUUAUAGACCUGUUGCAGUUUUAAAUAAAUUUAUGAUGUGACAUAUGGGUCUUCAGCUUUUAGACAUGACUAAUACAAGCACAACAAAGCACCCAACCCAAUAUCGCGUGAUAAUCGUGAUCGUGUAAAAAGUCCACACAUUUAGCAUAUUUUUACAAUACUAGCCUAACUUUUGCUUGACCACGUCAUGUGUAGCCAAUACACACACAGUAACUACAGCAUAUUUACCAUGCUUCUCCUACUGUAACCGUAGUUUUACUCUGGACUUUGUAACGCACAUAACCACGACAUUUACUAUGGGUUUACCAUAGUAACCAUAGUUUUACUCUGGUAUUUGUAGUUACUAACACACAAUAACCACGACAUUUACUAUGGGUUUACCAUAGUAACCAUAGUUUUACUCUGGUAUUUGUAGUUACUAACACACAAUAACCACGACAUUUACUAUGGGUUUACCAUAGUAACCAUAGUUUUACUCUGGUAUUUGUAGUUACUAACACACAAUAACCAUGACAUUUACUAUGGGUUUACCAUAGUAACCAUAGUUUUACUCUGGUAUUUGUAUUUACUAACACACAAUAACCACAACACUUACCAGGAUUUUACCACAGUAACUGUUUUUACUCUACACUAUUUGUAAAGCACAGUAACCACUAAGUUUGCCAUGCCUUUAAUAUCUUUUUGUGAUGUAAUUGUAAUUCAGUGUUUUUUCUGUCUUGCAGUUACGUCGGAUUACAUACUCCACAACAACCUGUAAUCCAGCAGAUCUUUAAAGAAGCCAUCUCUUGUCAAAUCUCUCUCUCUCUCUCUCUCUCUCUCUCGCUCUGCUAGAAUUAACAGGGAACUUCAACUCCACGCUCCCAAUGCUGAUAUUGAAGAAGCUGUCAAGGGGGCUGAACAAGUCCUUCAAAGGAUCAACCCUUCACAGGAAGGCCUGUCAUGAGAUUUGAAUUUGACCAUCUUGUGCAUUUAUGAAGAAGACCAAAAGCUGCAAAGGCAAACACUUGGCAGAAACUGAGAGUUUGCAUGAUGGCAUUUUCUCAGACGCUGAAUCUGAUGUGUACAGAUGAACUCAGGAGCCUACUAGAGUUGCCAAGGAACUUGUGAUUGAACUGAAGACCAGAAACGCAAAGAAAAUCAGUCAAACCAGUCCUAAAGAAAUGAGGAAUGAACAUGGACUUCUUGUGCCCCAAAAGAAAAGACAGAAAGCUCCUAAAAUGAGCAAAUAAGCUGUGCAUCAUCUCUGUGAUUUGGGAAGGAAAUGACUGAAUAUGAUGAAGCCAAUUGAUGAAGAUAUCAAUUGAAUGGCCACCGAGUGCAUCACUGCUACCUGAACCCAUCAGUUAUCUUCUGUGAAGACUGCAUUCACAAACCGCUCUACUGCGACAGCUCAGAUGUUACGGCCUGUAAAAGUAAACAUCACAGCUAAACAACGAGAGCUAGUUAUGGUGGGAUUCUUUUGGCCAAUAUCCCCAACAAGAAUCAAUGUUAAGUCCAGUGCAACAAUUAUAAAUAAAAAUACUAUAUAUUGUUUAUUGAUUUACUAUAACCUAAAUACAUGUUUUGGCCCUCCAGGACAUCUAGACCAGGUGGAGUGUGAGGAGGACCGUCAGAGACUCCAGCCAGCCGAGCCAUGGAUUGCUCUCACUGUUACCAUCAGGCAUGCGUUAUAACAGAACCUACACCAGCAGACAGUGAGACAAGUUCCUUUCACAGGCAAUCAGACUGAACUGAACUCAUACCAGUAAAACCAUACACACCCCACCAACCUCAUAUGCCCUGCACUCUUAUCAGUUAUGCUGACUGGACUCAAUAUUAUUAUGCACCCUGACAUUCUGUUUGCACUAAUUCAUACCGUGCUUUACUGCAGAGAUGUAUGUGUACUGUGAUUAUUAUUGUUUUCAAUUCAUGCUCUUUGUAUAGCAUAAUUUUUAACAUAUAUUGUUCUCUACCUGAAUUAAGUCCCUUAUAUAUGUGUGUUGCAUAUAUAUAUAUUCAGAAUUUGUAUUUCAUAUAUAUUCAUGAAUUAAUUCAUUUGUCAUCCAUACUGUCACGCUGCAGUCUGCACCCAAGACUUUCAUCACCUGUAUACUUGUGUUCAUUGUAUUGUGACAAUAAAGAUAUUUGAUUUAAA
This is a long non-coding RNA of Carassius gibelio (silver crucian carp), 2560 nucleotides long. RefSeq lists it as uncharacterized. The transcript is spliced from 6 exons. The record is from RefSeq and is a predicted model, not a curated record. Lineage: Eukaryota; Metazoa; Chordata; Actinopteri; Cypriniformes; Cyprinidae.